CAAAAAGUAGUUUAAUUAAAAUUAUAACUUUGGGAGUUAUAGAUCGGUAUACCCCGUUUUUUGA
This 64-nucleotide transfer RNA is filed under the name Eunoe nodosa. Its description in RNAcentral is "tRNA-Pro". Lineage: Eukaryota; Metazoa; Annelida; Polychaeta; Phyllodocida; Polynoidae. The record is from RNAcentral.